Molecule: unclassified non-coding RNA, 240 nt
Filed under: soil metagenome
Description: partial contains 5.8S ribosomal RNA, internal transcribed spacer 2, and large subunit ribosomal RNA
Source: RNAcentral
AACGGUCUAUACCUGCGGUACCUGCGGAAGGAUCAUUACUGAAUUGAUUUUGGGGAUGUUGCUGGUCUCUUGAGGCAAUGGUGCACUCCCUCAAACAUUUCACAAUUUCCAUCUUACCCAUGUGCACAUCCUGUAGGUGGUCUCCCAACCCACCCUCCAAGGAAAGGGGGGGAGUGUGUGGGUCUGGUCUCCUAUGUAUUUCCUUGCCAACAUCACACGUUUUGACUGAGUGAAUCCUGU